AAGGACAUUUGGGUUUCCAAGUGAACUAAAAAAAAAAAAUCAUAAAAGCAGGACGAGUAUUAUUCAAGAAGUUUUCAUUAGAAAUACUUAGAUUUUUAUUUAGUAAUAGGUUAGAAUCUUCCUCAUUUGAUAUUUACUUAUAGGACUACUACAUAACUAAGCAACCAAUCAUGUUAAGUAGUUUGAUUUAGUUUGUAAUGCCCAUGUGCCCAGUUUGUCUCUCUCUAUUCUCUCUUCCUUUCAUUAUUCCUUCUAUAGUCAUAGCCUCCAAUUUAUUUGCUUCUCAAGCUUUAGACAACUUAACCCCAAAAGUUCACUUCCUACAUAAGUGUCAACCCUACAAGUGUCAUCAAAUCACUUGAGAUAUGCUCACCAUAAAGCACUAGUCGGUUGACUAGUCUAUCAAAAAAUUAGUAGUUUAUUAGCGUAUCCAAAAAUAAUCUACACAAACACCUGUAGAUUAGAAUAACAAAUGCACAAAGAAUUAAGACAAGGAACUUUAUGCGGCAAAAAAUGUGCCACCAUGAAAAGGUUAUAAAAGCCUUCUUAUAGCAUGUAAUUAUGGUAUUCCUGUUUGUGCUAGGAUAUCACAAAUCAAGUUAAUUAUGAUAAAUCAUUAAAUUUGUCAUUCAAUUUUUUUUUUUAUCAUAUAAUCUCA
Molecule: unclassified non-coding RNA, 658 nt
Filed under: Hevea brasiliensis (rubber tree)
Lineage: Eukaryota; Viridiplantae; Streptophyta; Magnoliopsida; Malpighiales; Euphorbiaceae
Source: RNAcentral